AUAAAUGAAAGAAAGAAAAAAAGAAAAGAAAAGAAAGAGAAAAUAAAAGAAAAAGCACUGUAUCGCUACUGGGCUAGGAGCUUCUCUCUUUCUAUCUGUUUCUCUCUGUCUCUCUGUGUUUGUCUCUGUCUUUCUCUCUCUGUCUCUUUCUCUGUCUGUCUCUUUCUUUCCCUCUGUCUCUGUCUCUCUCUCUCUCUGCCUGUCUGUGUCUGUCUUCUGUCUUACUUUCUCUGCCCGUCUGUCUGUCUCUCUCUCUCCUUCCCUGUCUGUUUCUCUCUGUCUCUCUGUCUGUCUCUGUUUUUCUCUGUCUAUCUCUUUCUCUGUCUGUCUGCCUCUCUCUUUCUUUUUCUGUGUCUCUCUGUCUGUCUCUAUCUCUCUCUGUCUCUCGCUCUCUCUGCCUAUCUUGUCUUACUGUCUUUCUCUGCCUAUCUGUCUCUCUCUGUCUCUCCCUCCCUUUGUUUCUCUCUCUCUCUCACUCUCUCUCUGUCUGUUUCUCUGUCUCUCUCUUUCUCUGUUUCUCAGUGUCUCUCUCUGUCCAUCUCUGUCUUUCUCUGUCUCUUUCUCUCUGUCUCUGUCUCUCUGUCUCUCUGCCUGUCUCUCUCACUGUGUCUGUCUUCUGUCUUACUCUCCUUCUCUGCCUGUCCGUCUGUCUGUCUCUCUCUCUCUCUCCCUCCCUUUCUGUUUCUCUCUCUCUCUCUUUCUGUCUGUUUCUCUCUUUCUCUCUCUGUCUGUCUCUGUCUUUGUCUGUCUCUUUCUUUCUCUCUGUCUCUGUCUCUCUCUCUGCCUGUCUCACUGUGUCUGUCUUCUGUCUUAUUCUCCUUCUCUGCCUGUCUGUCUCUUUCUUUCUCUCUGUCUCUGUCUCUCUCUCUCUCUGCCUGUCUCACUGUGUCUGUCUUCUGUCUUAUUCUCCUUCUCUGCCUGUCUCUCUCUCUCUUUCUGUCUGUUUGUCUCUCUCUCUCCCUCCCUUUCUGUUUCUCUCUCUCUGUUUCUGUUUCUCUCUUUCUUUCUCUGUCUGUCUCUGUCUUUGUCUCUUUCUCUGUCUGUCUCUUUCUUUCUCUCUGUCUCUGUCUCUCUCUCUGCCUGUCUCACUGUGUCUGUCUUCUGUCUUAUUCUCCUUCUCUGCCUGUCUGUCUCUCUCUCUCUCUUCCUGUCUGUUUCUCUCUCUCUCUUUCUGUUUCUUUCUCUCUGUGUCUGUCUCUGUCUGUCUUUCUUUUUCUCUGUCUCUCUGUCUCUCUCUCUCUCUGUGCCUGUCUCUCUGUCUGUGCCUGUCUUCUGUCUUACUUUCUUUCUCUGCCUGUCUGUCUGUCUGUCUCUCUCCCUCCAUGUCUCUCUCUCUCUCUCACUCAUUCUCCGUCUCUCUCUCUUUCUGUCUGUUUCUCUCUAUCUCUCUCUGUCCAUCUCUGUCUUUCUAUGUCUGUCUCUUUCUCUGUCAGUCUGUCAGACACCCCCGUGCCGGGUAGGGCCCUGCCCCUUCCACGAAAGUGAGAAGCGCGUGCUUCGGUGCUUAGAGAGGCCGAGAGAAAUCUAGACAGGCGGGCCUUGCUGGGCUUCCCCACUCGGUGUAUGAUUUCGGGAGGUCGAGGCCGGGUCCCCGCUUGGAUGCGAGGGGCAUUUUCAGACUUUUCUCUCGGUCACGUGUGGCGUCCGUACUUCUCCUAUUUCCCUGAUAAGCUCCUCGACUUAAAAAUAAACGGUUAAGGCCGGGCACGGUGGCUCACAUCUGUCAUCCCAGCACUUUGGGACGCCGAGGCGGGUGGAUCACCUGAGGUUGGGAGUUCGAGACCAGCCUUGCCAACACGGCGAAACCCCGUCUCUACUAAAAAUACAAAACUGAGUCAGGAGCGGUGGGGCAGGUGCCUGUAAUGCCAGCUACUUGGGAGGCUGAGGCUGGAGAAUCACUUGAACCUGGGAGGCGGAGGCUGCAGUGAGCUGAGAUUGCACCACUGCACUACAGCCCAGGCUGUAGAGUGAGUGAGACUCUGUCUCUAAAUAAAUAAAUAAAUAAAUAAAUAAAUAAAUAAAUAAAUAAAUACAUUCUUUUCCGUGCUGACUGACAUUUGCAGGCAUCGGUUGUCUUCGGGCAUCACCUAGCGGCCACUGUUAUUGAAAGUUGAGGUCACACGGAGGGAGGUCUCCCUGACUUCACCGAACCUGGGGCAACGGGUUUCUCUCUCUCCCUUCUGGAGGUCCCUCCCUCUCUCCCUCGUUGCCUAGGGAACCUCUGCCCUGGCGGGGGCCCUAUUGUUCUUUGAUCAGCGCUUUAGUUUUCUUUGUGUGUUGGUUUCUUUCAUGUGCAUAGACUCUUCUACUUGGGAUUUAGGAGGGGUCAGUUUAAUUUUCAAGUCGCCCCUCGGCUCCCCCCACUACCCACAUCCCUUUACCUUCAUUUAGUGAGUCAGUUAGGUGGGUUCCCCCCAAACCCCACCCCCCGCCUCCCGACACCCUGCUU
This 2449-nucleotide long non-coding RNA is filed under the name Pan troglodytes (chimpanzee). Its description in RNAcentral is "lncRNA (ENSPTRG00000053350.1)". The record is from RNAcentral. Lineage: Eukaryota; Metazoa; Chordata; Mammalia; Primates; Hominidae.